UAGAGUGCAGUAGGGGAGACUGGAAUUCNUGGUGUAGCGGUGGAAUGCGCAGAUAUCAGGAGGAACACCGAUGGCGAAGGCAGGUCUCUGGGCUGUAACUGACGCUGAGAAGCGAAAGCAUGGGGAGCGAACAGGAUUAGAUACCCUGGUAGUCCAUGCCGUAAACGUUGGGCACUAGGUGUGGGGGACAUUCCACGUUUUCCGCGCCGUAGCUAACGCAUUAAGUGCCCCGCCUGGGGAGUACGGCCGCAAGGCUAAAACUCAAAGAAAUUGACGGGGGCCCGCACAAGCGGCGGAGCAUGCGGAUUAAUUCGAUGCAACGCGAAGAACCUUACCAAGGCUUGACAUAUACUGGACUGCGUCAGAGAUGGCGUUUCCCUUCGGGGCUGGUAUACAGGUGGUGCAUGGUUGUCGUCAGCUCGUGUCGUGAGAUGUUGGGUUAAGUCCCGCAACGAGCGCAACCCUCGUUCUAUGUUGCCAGCACGUGAUGGUGGGGACUCAUAGGAGACUGCCGGGGUUAACUCGGAGGAAGGUGGGGAUGACGUCAAAUCAUCAUGCCCCUUAUGUCUUGGGCUUCACGCAUGCUACAAUGGCCGGUACAGAGGGUUGCGAUACUGUGAGGUGGAGCUAAUCCCUAAAAGCCGGUCUCAGUUCGGAUUGGGGUCUGCAACUCGACCCCAUGAAGUCGGAGUCGCUAGUAAUCGCAGAUCAGCAACGCUGCGGUGAAUACGUUCCCGGGCCUUGUACACA
RNAcentral lists this ribosomal RNA (750 nucleotides) under uncultured bacterium. RNAcentral's name for it is "bacterial SSU rRNA". It matches the Rfam family "Bacterial small subunit ribosomal RNA", at positions 642 to 1389 of the family's 1533-position model. The record is from RNAcentral.